GGAGGGGUGUUCCGAAUCGGCAAGGAGCCGCUCUCGAAAAGCGGUGGGUGAAAGCCCGUGCGAGUUCGAGUCUCGCCCCCUCCG
RNAcentral lists this transfer RNA (84 nucleotides) under Parcubacteria group bacterium CG2_30_44_18. Its description in RNAcentral is "tRNA-Ser". It matches the Rfam family "tRNA". Rfam says of the family: Transfer RNA (tRNA) molecules are approximately 80 nucleotides in length. The record is from RNAcentral. RNAcentral also lists the same sequence under 5 other names.